This is a long non-coding RNA of Diceros bicornis minor, 446 nucleotides long. RefSeq lists it as uncharacterized. NCBI's taxonomy places the organism in Eukaryota, Metazoa, Chordata, Mammalia, Perissodactyla, Rhinocerotidae. The transcript has 3 exons. The record is from RefSeq and is a predicted model, not a curated record.
UCCCCCACCCCCACGCUGCCUCUGCUCUGCUCUAAGCCCAGACCAGUCAGGGCACAGCUGAGCACCAGGUCCUGAGAUGGCCCCAGAAGAGGAGCAGAGUAGAUGAUACACUUCCCAAGAAUUGAAAGCUGGCAUUAUAUGUGAAAUGUCUCCUCUGUGAAAAGAAACACACAGAAACACUCCAAAGUGUGACCCAGAAAAACACUGGAAGGAGAAACUCCAGCUGGGAGUGGUGGCUGACAACGUGACCUGAACUUGGAUCUCCCGAGUACCGUCUUUCUCAGGAUAGAAAGAGGGGUUUCUUCCUCUGAUAUUUAGUGUCACCACCGUGCUGGCUCCCAAAAGCAUAAGAUCACUGCUUUCAAGUUCUAGUUCAAGUUCUCUAGAGCUGAGAUGGGCUGGCAUCUUAAAAAAUAACCUUACUUUGAAAACAAUAUCAAGAUUCC